CAUGAGCUGUAUAGUUUGUACAGUUAACAGGUUCCUGAGUGGCCUCAUUUAUUUCAGGAUCUCUACAAACAUAUAAUAUUAAGUUCCUGAGCCUUUUUCUUCUGCAUUAUUAUUUUCUUCUUGAUUCUUUUUUGGGGAGGCUGAGGGAGAAGAGGAAAACUUGAUCUGGCGGGACUCCCAGCCGUGAACAGCAUGCCAUGCAGGCCCAGCGUCAGAAGUUCCUGAAUCUCGUGGAGUGCAUUCGUCUCCUCUGACAGCAAUACCAGAGGCUUGCUAGGUCCUUUCCCCACAUGGAAACAAAGACUCUCAACCUCUGCUAGCCAGAGCCCAGAAAGCACCCCUCCCUGCCUUCCGCCCUAUUUUCUGUAGCAGCUUCCCCAACAGGCAGCCCCUGGCCUGCGGGCCUGGACGAAGGGGAGAAUGGGAUCUCUCCAGUGGGGAUCGGUGUGUCAUGGCUCCCUACUAGAACACAAGCUUUCUGAGGGCAGCACCAUUUCUCAUUCAUCCUUUUAGCUUUUACACUUUUAAAUGCCUAAACUGUGGGAAAGGGAAGAUAGACUUUAGGAAGACAAGCCCCGUAAGGGGGAAUGACACACACACACACACAGCCCCGAGAAUCCCAUCCUCCAUUCGUCCAGGCCCGGUCUCCAGGGUCUAUCCCCCCGCCAGACAGCGGCCAACUGUCUGUCCAGACAAUCCAGCCCAGGCCUCCUUGGCCAGACCUAACCACCAGGCCGCUCCCUGCUUGGGCGCCUGGCCUUGCCUUUGAAAACCCAGGAACGCCUCUGCACAGCAGGGAGGCGUAGGGGUGAGACUGAGGGGGGGUGGGCAGACAGACUAAGAAGGCUAGGACUCCACAGCUUUGGCAGCACUGAGGACGCAAGCUUAAGGCACACUGACUGUGACGGCGCGGGCUUCGGGAGGGGUUGUGGGACUGAGCCGGAUGAGAAAGCUGGGGGGAAGAGCAAAGCACUGAGAAAAGGAAGGGCACCAGAGACCCCGUGCACUGCAGGUGAAUAGCUGGGGUCCCAGGGGUCGCGGAGAUGCGCCAGCCUCGUGUUUCGGGGAGGAGGAAAGCGGAGGGACUGGCCCAAGGCCACCCAGGCAGGGAAGAUGCCGGCUGUCCCCCACACUAGACCCCUCGCUGGGGCUCAGCUUUCCACCAGAUUCCCCCCCAGAAACCAAGGAUGUGGCCGCAGCCCCUCCAGACCUGGGUUGUCAGAAGCUCCCUCCCAGCUGGGACAUUCUAUGGCCCGAGAUUCCUCCCCGCUCUAACAUCCUGUGUUCUAAGGUUCCCCCCAGCUCGGACAUCCUGUGUUCUAGGGUGCCCCCCAGCUCGGACAUCCUGUGUUCUAGGGUUCCCCCCAGCUCGGACAUCCUGUGCUCUAAAGUCUCUCCCAGCUCGGACAUUCUGUGCUCUAAGGUCGAUUUCAGCUCAGACAUUCUACAUCCUAAGGUGGCUUCCAGCUCUGCUAUUCUGCGCCCUAAGGACACCCCGAGUUCAGACAUUCGAUGUCCUAAGGUCCCCCCCAACUCGGACAUUCUGUAUCCCAGGGUCACCCCCAGCUCGGCCAUCUUAUGUCCCAAGGUCCUUCCCAACUCAGACAUCCUCCGUCCUAAGGUCCCUCCCAGCCCCAACAUUCUGUGUCCUAAGAUAGCCCCCAAAUGGGACAUUCUGACUCCAAAAGUCACUCCCAAUUCAGACAUCCUCCGUCCUAAGGUCACUCCCAGCUGCGACAUUCUAAGUUCUAAGACCAUUCCCAGCUGCGACAUCCUAUGCCCUAGGGUUCCAUCCAGCUCUGGCAUUCUUCGCCCCAAGAUAGCUCCCAGCUCGGACACUCUGUGUCCAAAGGUGGCUCCCAGCUCGGCCAUCCUGUGUCCUAAAGUGGCUCCCAGCUCGGCCAUCCUGUGGGCUAAGGUCACUUCCAGCUCUGAGAUUCUGUGCUCUAAGGUCACUUCCAGCUCAGACAUUCUAUGCUCUAAGGUCACUUCCAGGUCAGACAUUCUAAGUCCCAAACCUCCGCCCAGCUUGGACAUUCUGUGUUCUAAGGACCCUCCCAGCUCAACCAUUCUGUGUGCUAAGGUGGCUCCUAGCUCAGCCAUUCGGUGCUCCAAGGUGGCUCCCAGCUCGGCCAUUCUGUGCUCUAGGGUCCCUCCCAGCUCGGCCAUUCUGUGUUCUAAGGCCCCGCCCAGCUCGGACAUCCUCUGUUCUAAAGUCACUCCCAGCUUGGACAUCCUCUGUCUCAAGGUCCCUCCCAGCUCCAACAUUCUGCGUUCUAAGGUGGCUCCCAGCUGAGCCAUUCGCCGACCCAGAGUUCCUCCCAAUCCCGACAUCCUCCGUCCCAAGACCCCCUCCAGCUCGGACAUCCGGUGUUCUAAGAGGCCCUCUAGCUCGGACAUCCUGUGUUCUAAGGUGGCUCCCAGCUCCGAGAUCCUGUGUUCUAAGGUCUCUUCCAGCUCCGAUAUCCUGUGUUCUAAGCUCUCUUCCAGCUCGGACAUUCUGUGUUCUAGGGUCCCUCCCAGCUCAGACAUUCUGUGUUCUAGGGUCCCUCCGAGCGCGGACCUUCUGCGCCCUAAGGAGCCUCCCAGCUCGGACAUUCGGUGCCUUAAGGUCCCUCCCAGCUCGGACAUUCUGUGCUCUAGGGUCCCUUCCAGCUCCGACACUUUGUGUUCUAGGGUCCCUUCGAGUUCUGACAUUCUGUGUCCCAAGGUGUCCCCCAGCUCAGACAGGAAGACUUCCAGGGUCCCCCCCAGGUCCGACACGGUGGCCCGCCCCACGGCCUGGCCCAGCUCGGACACUCGGUGUCCCACGGUGCCUCUGAGCUCGGACAGGCGGCACUCCAGGGUCCGCCCCAGCUCCACGUCCCUGUACUGCAAGGUGACUCCCAGCUCGGAGGUCCUGUACUCUAGGUUCCCCACCAGCUCUGACGUCCUGUGCAGGGACAGCCUGCGCCCCAGGCUCCCGCCCAGCCCCGACACGCGGCGCUUUAGGGCCCAGCCCAGCUCGGAGAUCCGGUGCUCCACGGUCCCUUCCAGCUCGGACGUUCUGUGCCCCAAGGUCCCCCCCAGCUCCGACAUCCUGUGCUCUAGGGUCCCCACGAGCUCGGACAUCCUGUGUUCUAGCGUCCCUUUCAGCUCAGAGAUCCUGCGCUCUAAGGUGUCCCCCAGCUCCGACAUCCUGCGCCUCCAAAGCCCUUCGGUGUUUCCCGGGGAUGUUCUAUGGGGGGGGGGGGUCCCUGAGGCUGGUGUUCUAGGGCCCCCUCCCAGGGAAGCGCCACAUUGUGGGGCCCUCCUGGCUUGGGCGGGGUGUUCUCGGCCCCCCAGCGCCGAGGUGCCGCGUUCUAGAGGCCCCGCCCCCGCGCCGGCAUCGUGGGUCCCCCGGUAACAAGCUGCGUUCUAGGCCGCCAGGGCCGCCGCGUUCUGGGCUCUCCCUCCCAGCCCCCAAGUUCUAGGUUUGAGCUUCUCUUGUC
This 3470-nucleotide long non-coding RNA is filed under the name Sarcophilus harrisii (Tasmanian devil). RNAcentral describes it as "lncRNA (ENSSHAG00000020795.1)". Lineage: Eukaryota; Metazoa; Chordata; Mammalia; Dasyuromorphia; Dasyuridae. The record is from RNAcentral.